GCAUAUCAAUAAGCGGAGGAAAAGAAACUAACAAGGAUUCCCUUAGUAGCGGCGAGCGAAGCGGGAUGAGCUCAGAUUUGAAAUCUGGCGUCUUUCAGGCGUCCGAGUUGUAAUCUAUAGAAGCGUUUUCUGUGCUGGACCGUGUCCAAGUCCCUUGGAACAGGGUAUCAAAGAGGGUGAGAAUCCCGUACUUGACACGACCACCAGUGCUCUGUGAUACGUUUUCUACGAGUCGAGUUGUUUGGGAAUGCAGCUCAAAAUGGGUGGUAAAUUCCAUCUAAAGCUAAAUAUUGGCGAGAGACCGAUAGCAAACAAGUACCGUGAGGGAAAGAUGAAAAGCACUUUGGAAAGAGAGUUAAACAGUACGUGAAAUUGUUGAAAGGGAAACGAUUGAAGUCAGUCGUGUCUAUUGGUUUCAGCCGGUUCUGCCGGUGUACUACCAUUAGACGGGUCAACAUCAGUUUUAGACGGCGGAUAAAAGCAGUUAGAAUGUAGCACCUCCGGGUGUGUUAUAGCUUCCUGUUGCAUACGCUGUCCGAGACUGAGGAAUGCAGCUCGCCUUCACAGGCCGGGGGUUCGCCCCACGUCCGAGCUUAGGA
RNAcentral lists this ribosomal RNA (599 nucleotides) under Derxomyces simaoensis. Its description in RNAcentral is "LSU rRNA". It matches the Rfam family "Eukaryotic large subunit ribosomal RNA", at positions 38 to 612 of the family's 3401-position model. The record is from RNAcentral. Lineage: Eukaryota; Fungi; Basidiomycota; Tremellomycetes; Tremellales; Bulleribasidiaceae.